UACAGAGGGUGCGAGCGUUCAUCGGAAUUACUGGGCGUAAAGCGCGCGUAGGCGGCUUUGCAAGUCGGGUGUGAAAUCCCCAGGCUUAACCUGGGAACUGCAUUCGAGACUGCAUUGCUAGAGUAUGGGAGAGGGAAGUGGAAUUUCCGGUGUAGCGGUGAAAUGCGUAGAUAUCGGGAGGAACACCGGUGGCGAAGGCGGCCCCCUGGUUGGAUACUGACGCUGAGACGCGAAAGCGUGGGGAGCAAACAGG
Molecule: ribosomal RNA, 253 nt
Filed under: uncultured bacterium
Lineage: Bacteria
Description: partial 16S ribosomal RNA
Rfam family: Bacterial small subunit ribosomal RNA
Source: RNAcentral